UACGGAGGAUGCAAGCGUUAUCCGGAUUUAUUGGGUUUAAAGGGUGCGUAGGCGGAUAUGUAAGUCAGCGGUGAGACUCACAGGCUCAACCUGUGCCGUGCCGUUGAAACUGUGUAUCUGGAAUGCGGAUGCUGUGGGAGGAAUGUGUAGUGUAGCGGUGAAAUGCAUAGAUAUUACACAGAACACCGAUUGCGAAGGCAUCUCACAAAGCCGUUAUUGACGCUGAGGCACGAAAGUGUGGGGAUCAAA
RNAcentral lists this ribosomal RNA (249 nucleotides) under uncultured prokaryote. RNAcentral's name for it is "partial 16S ribosomal RNA". It matches the Rfam family "Bacterial small subunit ribosomal RNA", at positions 524 to 772 of the family's 1533-position model. The record is from RNAcentral.